AUACAUAAUAAAAUAAAAAUAUAGAGCAAGAUGAACUUAUCGAAUUUGACUGAGACGUGCAAAUGCACUGGGUUUAAGAGUAUUUCGCCACCACGGGUAAGUUACCCGGUGCAGUUGGUCACAUAGCUAAUACCCUCCAGGAUACAACAGUCACAUCUUGCUAGCACUGCACGUGAAUUAGCAAGGUCUCAUAGAACUACUUUUUGGAUGCUCAUGGGAACUUAGUAUUAUUAUAUAUUUUACUUGUGUCACUUAGUUUCCCUGUUCUUCGCUCCCUCGUAUCUAUAUGCUUCUUCUAUGUUAUUAUUAUGUUCACUCCCUCCUCUUAGCCAAGCCACCCCAUGUAUAUAUACUCAUGACUAUCUUCUAAUAAACCAAUUUGACGUUAACAAAUUAUUAUAUAAGCUAAACUGAAAAAUCCUAUUAAUUAUGAUUGAAUUAGUUAGUUGUGCACAAGUAAAUAGGAACGGCAUUUUGACCAAGCAAUAAAAAUAAGUAACGUGCAUUAUUAUUAAUAAUUAAAAAAUAAUGAUUCUUAAACUUAAAAAUAAAUUUCAUAUAAAAUAUCUUACA
This 573-nucleotide long non-coding RNA is filed under the name Trifolium pratense (red clover). RNAcentral's name for it is "long non-coding RNA (TPRA_LNC005560)". The record is from RNAcentral. Lineage: Eukaryota; Viridiplantae; Streptophyta; Magnoliopsida; Fabales; Fabaceae.